Molecule: RNA transcript, 1217 nt
Organism: Rattus norvegicus (Norway rat)
Lineage: Eukaryota; Metazoa; Chordata; Mammalia; Rodentia; Muridae
Gene: Alyref
Gene name: Aly/REF export factor
Exons: 7
Source: RefSeq, marked validated
GAUACGAGGCCCGAAUCCGCGCCCGCCAUGGCCGACAAAAUGGACAUGUCUUUGGACGACAUCAUUAAGCUGAACCGGAGCCAGCGAGGAGGCCGCGGCGGGGGCCGGGGUCGCGGCAGGGCCGGCUCCCAGGGCGGCCGCGGCGGCGCAGUGCAGGCCGCCGCGCGGGUGAAUCGAGGCGGCGGGCCUAUGAGGAACCGGCCCGCCAUCGCCCGCGGCGCCGCAGGCGGCGGCGGCAGGAACCGACCGGCACCAUACAGCAGACCGAAACAACUUCCCGACAAGUGGCAGCACGACCUAUUCGACAGCGGCUUCGGGGGUGGAGCCGGCGUGGAGACGGGUGGGAAGCUGCUUGUGUCAAACCUGGAUUUCGGAGUGUCAGACGCUGAUAUUCAGGAACUGUUUGCCGAGUUUGGAACGUUGAAAAAAGCUGCUGUGCACUAUGAUCGCUCUGGACGAAGUUUAGGGACAGCAGAUGUACACUUUGAACGGAAAGCAGAUGCCCUGAAGGCUAUGAAACAGUACAAUGGUGUCCCUUUGGAUGCAAGCUACAUCCCUCCCCUCCUUGAUCUCCUUCCGGAAGAUUCACUUCUGUGAAGCCUUCUCAGAACCGCCAUAGUACAACCUGAGUGCGGGGCUGUAGUCGUAAAGACAAAGGCCGCCCUAUGAACAUCCAGCUUGUCACAUCACAGAUUGAUACACAACGAAGACCUGCACAGAGCAUAAACAGAGGUGGCAUGACAAGAAACCGUGGUUCUGGCAGUUUUGGUGGUGGCGGCACCAGGAGAGGCACUCGUGGAGGCAGCCGGGGAAGAGGUAGAGGUACCGGCAGGAACUCAAAGCAGCAGCUUUCUGCAGAGGAGUUGGACGCACAGCUGGAUGCUUACAAUGCAAGGAUGGACACCAGCUAAACAACCAAGCAAAUCCGCACAAGUAACAGGACCCAGAAGCCUCGUCUUGACGCCUAGAGGGAGGGUUGGCAACUGGACUGUGCAGACAAUGGUGGAUUUGUUUUUGUUUGUUUCUUUUUUUUUUCCUGUUUUAAAUAGGAUCUAAAAAACUCAUGUAAAGGUUUUUUUUUCCCCCCUUUUUUUUUUUUUUUUAAUUCUGAAACAGACCUGUUUUGUACUGAGUUAUUUUGGGAUAAAUUUUACUGGUUGCUGUUGUGGAGAAGGUGGCAUUUUCACCUUUGCCAUAAUAAAAUAGAAAUGUGUGUA